RNAcentral lists this transfer RNA (85 nucleotides) under Felis catus (domestic cat). It matches the Rfam family "tRNA". From Rfam's summary of the family: Transfer RNA (tRNA) molecules are approximately 80 nucleotides in length. Their secondary structure includes four short double-helical elements and three loops (D, anti-codon, and T loops). The record is from Rfam by way of RNAcentral. Lineage: Eukaryota; Metazoa; Chordata; Mammalia; Carnivora; Felidae. RNAcentral also lists the same sequence under 4 other names.
GCUUGGGUGGCUCAGUCGGUUGAGCGUCUGACUUCUGCUCAGGUCAUGAUCUCACAGUUUGUGAGUUCAAGCCUUACAUCAGGCU